UGUUCUUCUCCUCUCUCUCGCAGAGAAACUUUAGAGUUUUUAGAAUCUGUUUUGGUUCUUGCGGUUUGUGUGCUUGAUGUUUGCCGGAGAUUCAGGAGGCAAGGUUUAAUCAAAAAUACGGACGGACGAAAGGGAUUAGAAGGAAAUUUAAGAGGCAAAGUUGAUAACACUGAUUUAAGAUUCAGGAGACAAGGUUUAAUCAAAAUUUUGCAGAGGAAAGGAAUUAGCAGGAAAUUUAAAGGGGACAAAAUUUACAACAUUGAUUUAGGAGGCAAAGUCUAAUUUCAAAGAAGCUGCAGAGGAAGGGAAGAACAAGAUGCACGGGUCAUGGUCACGGAAGAACAAGGUAGGUAGGAGGCGAAGUUUAAUUUCAAAGACGAUGCAAAAGAAAAUUCAGAUGGGGGUUUAACUUGGUUUUCAUAUUGAGGAACUCACUAUGUCACAAGGUGGUGAUUGGGUUUGAUUCAUGGGAAGAUAUCAGUGGCAGCCCUUUGAAAAAGGAAGGUGAUUUACUACUCUGUAAGAUAUGGUGAUAUAAUUCACCAAUUUUCACCUAGGGAUUGAAUAACUACCCAUCAUCCCUUAACUGAAACAUAAUAAAGAGCGAAAGUGGUGAAAUGUGUAUAUAUCGAAUAUCUUCAGCAUGUCCCAGUAUUGCGCCCUUGCUUAUAUGGAGAAGCGUACAUAUUCUUUAUUAAUCAGUAAUCUCAAGAACUUUUCAUUUUCUCGUAGCAGUCUGAGCUCGACCAUACAUUUACAACUGGCGUAAUCAGUUGUCCUUCAAUUCGUGUAACAACGGUUCCAGGCCCCGGGUAGCUUGGAGCAUUUUCAGUAUUUACCCGUACAAAUCACAAACAUUGUAGCAUACUUUGGAAUCGCAGAACAAAAAGACUAAUGGCGGUAUAUUCCACUGUAUCAUACUAAUCACCAGUUGAGUUAUUAUUCGCGUAAUAUGUUACUUGAUUUGUAUUGGUAACAAGGGAGUGAAACCUCUAUGGAGAUGCAAGCAAAAGCAGAGCAUGAUACAAGCUCAAAAAGUAGUUAGCAAACCAAUUUUUUGGUGUUUUGUAAUUUUUAUUGGGCUAUGGUACCUAAUCUUUAGCGUUUAGAAAACCAAAUCUUUGAUGGUCGAAUUUCUGAUAAUUGUGGUUCCUGA
Molecule: long non-coding RNA, 1156 nt
Organism: Papaver somniferum (opium poppy)
Lineage: Eukaryota; Viridiplantae; Streptophyta; Magnoliopsida; Ranunculales; Papaveraceae
Exons: 6
Source: RefSeq, a predicted model, not a curated record